GGUUAACGCUGGCGGCGCGCAUAACACAUGCAAGUCGAGCGAGGGCUUAUUUCUCGCAAGAGAGAUGAGUUCCUAGCGGCGAACGGGUGAGUAACACGUGGGCAACCUUUCCUAUCGCGGGGGAUAACACCGGGAAACCGAUGCUAAUACCGCAUGUCGUCACUGGUCGCAUGGCUGGUGAAGAAAGCAGCAAUGCACGAUGGGGUGGGCCCGCGGCCUAUCAGCUAGUCGGUGGGGUAACGGCCUACCGAGGCGAUGACGGGUAGCUGGUCUGAGA
RNAcentral lists this ribosomal RNA (277 nucleotides) under uncultured bacterium. RNAcentral describes it as "partial 16S ribosomal RNA". It matches the Rfam family "Bacterial small subunit ribosomal RNA", at positions 28 to 297 of the family's 1533-position model. The record is from RNAcentral.